GUCUCAUUGGCAGAACAUGUGUUGUCACCAACUAGACCACAUUGACAGAAUGCCUCUCUCAUCGUAGAUCCUGCAUGGCUUCAAGGACCAGGUCGGCCAAGAGAACUGGCAGCAAUUCUCUGAACAGUUCCCUCCUUUAUUGAAGGAGCGCUUGUCGGCAUGCUAUGUCGUUCAGCGUUAAUCCACAACAGACCUGUUCGGUAUAUUCUGAAAUCCUCUCACUUUUGCUCACAAGUUUUGUCUUUCUGGAGAUGAUGACAAACCCAGCUCAUUGAUAACGCAAUGAAAAAUCUUUGUUCCAACCUUUAAUCUGAUCCAGAACAUUACAUGACGUUAGCAACCAAUUUCGUGUUCAGCUCUUCUGCUAAUUCUUAUCCUUUUUGUCUGCCAUGCAGGUAACCAUAGGGGAGGGUCACUGGGGAACUCUGCCCACUGUGGCAUCCUGGGUUAGCCCGAAAGAAUACCUGAGACAUGUUUUUAUAAGAUCCUGCAUGGCUUCAAGGACCAGGUCGGCCAAGAGAACUGGCAGCAAUUCUCUGAACAGUUCCCUCCUUUGUUGAAGGAGCGCUUGUCUGCAUGCUAUGGCGUUCAGCAUUAAUCCACAACAGACCUGUUCGGUAACCAUAGGGGAGGGUCACUGGGGAACUCUGCCCACUGUGGCAUCCUGGGUCAGCCCAAAAGAAUACCUGAGACAUGUUUUUAUAAGAUCCUGCAUGGCUUCAAGGACCAGGUCGGCCAAGAGAACUGGCAGCAAUUCUCUGAACAGUUUCCUCCUUUGUUGAAGGAGCGCUUGUCGGCAUGCUAUGGCGUUUAGCGCAAGUCCACAACAGACCUGUUCGGUAACCAUAGGGGAGGGUCACUGGGGAACUCAUUCACUGCCCAGCGUUGCAGGACAAACCAUGCAGAGGCAACUUGACGGGCCUCCACUUGGCAAAGGGUCUUCUCCCCCCUUUCCCUGUGACUGUUUGGUUAUUCUUAGACCUUUCUCCUCUCGUCCGAGUAGUCCUCUUCAGGAGCGCUAGUGAGACUGGUCGCAGCUGUGGUCCCUAUUGACUCGAAUGUGCCUACUAUUUCCUUUCACUUCUGGACAUUUUUGCAGCUUUAUUAGAUAGAUAAAUGUCAGAUCAUAUUAUAUUGCCUCUACUCCACACCACAAUUACUGUGAUUAUGUGUUAAAAUUUUGAAAUUGCCGAUCGAAUCCAUACAGUUGCUGUCUGGCAGAGACCAGUGGUCCUUACCAGUAGGGGGGCGCUAUUAAAAUUGGUCCUGAUGCUGGUCUGGUCUAAGCUGACUCUCGUCAGAUCCUUGUAGUUUGCUGAGCUCCACACAUUGAUCUGGGGGUUCUCAAUAGGAGAUGUAUUUCAGAAGGCGGGGCCAUGUAAAAAAAAUAAUUGUAUGUGAUUGGAUAAACUACUUGUACGUUAUCGUGAAUGACGUGCUACUUCAACUACUCCCAUCAAAAUCAACCCGUGACGCUGAUGAGAGCGACGUUGGGAAAUCCAAACCAGGUCGGAAGAAGAGCCAAAACAUCCUUGCCACCAAUAAAUGCCUUCAAAACAGUUCUCUGUUCAUCUUUUAAAGAAUUAAUAUUCGAUAGAUUCGACAAAACAUUUGCAAUAGCUGAAUCAAUGUUAACACACGACGCAGCCAGCGCUGCGUGCCGCCAUUGUUGGAAUCAAACAGUCGCUUCGGCGCUAUGCUACAUCUAUGAAAUCCCGCCCGGCGAUCUUGAUUGGUUCAUUAUUUUUUGCUAUAUGGAAGGAGUUUGCAAUGCCUUCGAGCCCCAGACCCUUGUGUGGAGCUCAGCGAACUACAAGGGUCUGGAGAGUCAGGUUAGGUGUGGUCUGUGUGGUCCAUGAAAUCUGCCUGUUGUCUUGAACAGUUACCAAGUGGUCCUUGGAGUAGUUGUUAUAGUAUAGUUGUAAUGCAGCCUCCCUCUUUUUUCAUCAUGUUGGCAACACGUGAAAGAAAUUUCUUCUGCCAUGCAUCACUCAUUUUUAAUUUCUUUCCCUCCAAAAAUAUUUGAUUUAUUUCCAACUUAUUUGUUAUAGACUGCCUCUUAUCAGUCAAUUUGUGUCUGAUGAUUUUUACAUCACCAUAGUGACAGUAUCCACAGUCAAGUAGGUUGUGUGAAAUGUACUGAGAUGCCCCAACUGGACUUGAUGUAAAUGUUCAGUUAUUUCUCUCGCUUUAAUAUCAAGCUUAGCUGCCUGAAGUGAGUGAAGUAUAAGACAACCAAUCAUGGAACUUCAUCUGAGCAAUAACCUAAGUAUACCAACCUAAAUAAUUUGAUAUAUUUAGUGGUAUUUACAAGGAAAAAUCAGCUUUUCCUUUUUAUGAACCUGUACUCGACUGUGCGCAGUUAGUGCUGUCCCUCUGUCACCAAUAGUUAGGAUAUAAAAUGGGCCAUCCCUUCAACCACCAUAUGCUUUGGAAGGCAAGGCUAAAAAUAACAGCCACAUUGUUUUUUUAAUAUAAUGCAGCAGUUUAUUUAAAAAAACAUAAGGGACGAGCGUUAGAAAAUGGAUGGAUGGAUGUUUACCUACCUUGGAAUGUCCAUAUCUGUAGAAAUGGAGGUGUACUUUUGCAAGCGAAUUGUACACUCUGAUUUCUUGCCUUGACACAUACUUGUCAACACAAGUGCCAGUAUGAGUAUCGUGCAGACUACUACAUGGAAAGAAAAAUUACUAAAUCCUUUUUAUGGUCAUUUAUGGUGGCUCAGUGGGCUAAGGGCAUAGCAUACUUAUGUCCGGCUUUAACCCGCAUGUGGCCCUUUGUCAAGUCUUUACACUUGUCUCUUUAAAGAACAAAGAGAUAGCAAUGUCUCCGAACAGUGUUAAGUACAGUAUUUUCCGGACUAUAAGGCGCACUUAAAAUGUUUUUUCCUCAAAACUUGACAGUGCGCCUAUUGUACGGAAUAAUUCUGGUUUUCCUUGCCGACCUCGAAGCUAUUUUAUUUGGUGCAUGGUGUAAUGAUAAGUGUGACCAGCAGUCAAACAGAUGUAAUGGCAAUAUGACAAACACCAUUUUAUGUUCCAUUGAAAAUAUAGAACAUUACACACUGCGCUCAAAAAUCUAUCAAAAUGUUUUAAUACGAUUUUGGUAAGCUAUGAAGCACCACUUGAUGUGCUUCAACAUACGAGCAUUAUUAUGGUGUGUGUAUAAGGUAGGACAUAUUAUCUGGUGUUAUGUUUUGCAAUAUUACGCAAAAGCAACUUUUCUUACCUUCUGGUACCUGCUGAUCUGCAUUUGGGAUCUGCAUAAAUCCUGAAAAAUUGCGACUGUCAGAAAGCGGCUUGAAGAUGAUCUGUAAAACAUCAUCUAUGCAACAUUUUGACCAAAGAACCACCAUUACAUGUUAUGUAGACCACAAGAAGUUUUUUCAAUUUAGGAAAAAAUAUGACUCCUUUAAUGCGUCCUAAAAUCCGGUGCGCCUCAUAUGAAAAAAGAUCAAAAAUAGACUGGUGCGCCCUAUUAUCCGGAAAAUACGUAUUUCAUUCUGUGGGUGAGUACCGAUGAGUACUCACCCACAGAAUAAAAUGAUUGCCAGUCUCUGCCGUUUGAUGGCCAACAACUCGUGGAAAUGGGACCUUUGAGUCUUGCUUCAUGGCCUUGAAUAAACAUAAAAAAUACAGCUGUAAGAACAAGGAAUUUGUUUUUUUCUGUAACAAAACUAUUAGUAGUUGUAGCAAUGUGUUUUUCUAAAAUAAUAUGCAGAUAAAACACCUGCAUACUGUACCUGGAUGCAAUGCAAAUGGCGGGGGCUGAUUGGUUCCCCACAUAACCAGUUCUUCCACCAAGCCGUGAAACUGAAUGUUUGCAAACUAAACACCUGUAAAAAGAACAAUUACUUUUGGGUUGUUGCAAACUGUUCCUGCGUCCACUCCCCACACCAAGAACAAAUUACAAUAAAUCUCAUAAUUACAUUCUCCAGAGGGCUGACCAGUCGUAGAAUUCUCUGAUUCUUUGCCUGUAAAGGAACAAGUCAAGCUUUCACUGUUUAAAACUUUGGUGUAAUGAUACAUCCCAGACAUCCAUGUCUACUUACAUCAUCUGUAAGCCAUAGAUAUGAAGCAUGCAAGUCAUUUUCAACAAGACUUUGUGGGCAAAGGCUCAGAAGGUCAGCCAGAUAUACUAAUGUCUGGUCCACCUGAACAAUGGCAUAGUCCAUGGCUGGUGCCUUUAUCCGGAAAGUGUGGCAAAGAUCAAAACAGAUGACAUUUGAUGCAUUAUUCCAAAGUAACAUGGUACAAUAGACUGUUCCAAUAGCAUUAGGUUGUUGAGGGUUGACAUCCCAUCCAAGCAUGAAUCACCUUCACACUAUUAAAUAAAGUUGGAGAAAACAGACAGCGAUUGGCAGUGAUAAAUUAUCUUGUUCAAUAAGAUAAGAAUCAUUUAUGGAUUUUUCAUAUGUAGAUUUGCAUUUAUCACAGACCCGUUGCAGGUUCAUGCUUAGCUGAUGUAUAUGAUAGGUAUGGCUUGUCCGACAUCACUUUAUGAAUUAACAGCCGAAUCAUACAUGCCAUCCAUCCAUUUUCUACCGCUUGUCCCUUUCGGGGUCGCGGGGGGUGCUGGAGCCUAUCUCAGCUGCAUUCGGGGGGAAGGCGGGGUACACCCUGGACAAGUCGCCAUCUCGUCACAGAUAAAUUGGAUGUUAAUAUCUAAAUUUAUGAGGAAAACGUUGCACAUUUUGAUGAUGAAGUAGGUUUGUAUUUUGAUUGUACAAUAAAAAGCUGUGAAAAUGAUGAUGCUGUGUUCCAAAUUUAAAUGAUUUACUGAACUUAUGUGAGCCUAUGCAUGGCUUUGCACCUUGUUAUAUAUAUAUAUUGCCAUCUAUUUUAGUUACUUUAUUGAGUUUAAAACCCCCUGGUGCUGAUUUAUACUGUUUUUGUACUUAUUUUGAUUAUUAUUUCUCGAUUGUUUGUAAAUGUUGCAGUUUAUAAAUAAAGAUUUAUAAAAUUUUAAUUUAAAAAAGUAUAUAUUUUUUUAAAGAAUUUUACCUUUGCAACCUCA
Molecule: long non-coding RNA, 5013 nt
Organism: Entelurus aequoreus (snake pipefish)
Lineage: Eukaryota; Metazoa; Chordata; Actinopteri; Syngnathiformes; Syngnathidae
Exons: 5
Source: RefSeq, a predicted model, not a curated record